Long non-coding RNA from Erigeron canadensis, 1022 nucleotides. RefSeq lists it as uncharacterized. The record is from RefSeq and is a predicted model, not a curated record. The transcript is spliced from 3 exons. NCBI's taxonomy places the organism in Eukaryota, Viridiplantae, Streptophyta, Magnoliopsida, Asterales, Asteraceae.
AUCUUUACUUUACAAACUUAUCAAAAGACCCCUAAAAUAUCAAAAUUCCUUUUGUCGCUUCCGACCGUCGUCAUUGGACUUUGUGUGAAGCUGCACCGUCUCCGGCCAUCUCUCCAGGAGUUAACGGCAGGUUUGAUAUUUUAGUGGCCUGAUUGAAUGCUCUUCUGCAAAAGUAUCAAAAAGAUAACACAAGUCAUUCUACUAUAUUAAGUAGAAGGACCAAGGGAAGUAUUUUUCUUUCAUUAAUUCUUGCAAUAAGUAUAACUGUAGCGCCAAGAGCCCAAGCCCAAUAGUCAAAUGUUUAUUUUGUUUCUCUUUCAGAUGUUAAUGCUUUCAUUGUCAUGGUCACGGAUGAAAUUCUAGAUGAAACCUUUAGUAUGGCAUUGAUAUGUCCAUGUUGUUGCAUCCAAACUAACUGAAUUAAAGUGAUUUGGAAAACUAUCCUACUCCUGCUCUAAAACUACAUGACUGCCUGCUUGCCUGAAGUGUAAUCGAGGAAUCCCGAACCCCACCUUCCCACCAAUAAUGUUACCCCCACAUUAGUGAAUCUUUUUUGCUCACUUGGAGUAUAUCUACAUGCCCUUAGUGGCCUUUUUUCAUAUUUAUCGACAUUUGUAUGCUAAAAGGUUUUGUAAGCAUAUGUAAGAAAUACAUCUGCCAAGUAUAUGUAAGUGGAGCAGUCCACUAGACAGAACUGAAGAAGUUGAUUCCCCCUUCAACAAUGAAAUGGAUCCCUUCCAAAAGCACGGGUGGUUUAUGUAGACACAAGGGUGGAGCUGGCUAGUAGGAUUCCCCCCAAUUCUCCAUACCCAGAGCUAGUAUAUUUUAGAGAAGGAAUCACCAACCACCACAAAAUCCUGUAGUAAUUCAGAAUUUUUCUUUAGCUUUACUAAUUAUAUUGAAACUUAAUGGAAACGUAUUUCUCUUGGCCCGUUGGUAUCAGUAACUCCUCAUGACUUUGUGGUCAUGUGUAUAAGCCUCAUCGUUGACAUUAGUUGUAAUAAUUAAGCACUUUAGUAGUA